GACGAACGCUGGCGGCGUGCUUAACACAUGCAAGUCGAACGGAAAGGCCCCAGCUUGCUGGGGUACUCGAGUGGCGAACGGGUGAGUAACACGUGGGUGAUCUGCCCUGCACUCUGGGAUAAGCCUUGGAAACUGGGUCUAAUACCGGAUAGGACCGUGCUUUAGUGUGUGCGGUGGAAAGUUUUUCGGUGCAGGAUGAGCCCGCGGCCUGUCAGCUUGUUGGUGGGGUAAUGGCCUACCAAGGCGGCGACGGGUAGCCGGCCUGAGAGGGUGUACGGCCACAUUGGGACUGAGAGACGGCCCAGAAGCCAAAGGGAGGCAGCAGUGGGGAAUAUUGCAAAAUGGGCGCAAGACUGAUGCAGAGGCGCCGCGUGGGGGAUGACGGCCUUCGGGUUGUAAACCCCUUUCGGCAGGGACGAAGCUGUUGUGACGGUACCUGCAUAAGAAGCACCGGCUAACUACGUG
Molecule: ribosomal RNA, 465 nt
Filed under: uncultured bacterium
Lineage: Bacteria
Description: partial 16S ribosomal RNA
Rfam family: Bacterial small subunit ribosomal RNA
Source: RNAcentral